RNAcentral lists this transfer RNA (67 nucleotides) under Rhipicephalus annulatus. RNAcentral describes it as "tRNA-Met". Lineage: Eukaryota; Metazoa; Arthropoda; Arachnida; Ixodida; Ixodidae. The record is from RNAcentral.
AAUAAAGUAAGCUAAUUUUAAGCUAUUGGGUUCAUACCCCAAACAUGAUUUUAAUAAUCCUUUAUUA